GCCCUGGUAGCUCAAUUGGUUAGAGUGUGGUUCUGAUAUUCCAGGGUUUUGGGUUCAAUCCUCACUCAGGGUA
This is a non-coding RNA of Myotis lucifugus (little brown bat), 73 nucleotides long. NCBI's taxonomy places the organism in Eukaryota, Metazoa, Chordata, Mammalia, Chiroptera, Vespertilionidae. The record is from Rfam.